UCUUGUUUCAGCAGCAUAUACUAAAAAUUGGCACAAUGCAGACAAGAUUAUCAUGGCCCCUAAGCAUGGAUAGCAUGCAAAUUCAUGAAGUAUUCCACAUUUUU
This is a small nuclear RNA of Pteronotus mesoamericanus, 104 nucleotides long. Lineage: Eukaryota; Metazoa; Chordata; Mammalia; Chiroptera; Mormoopidae. The record is from RefSeq and is a predicted model, not a curated record.